UACGUAGGGGGCUAGCGUUGUCCGGAAUCAUUGGGCGUAAAGCGCGUGUAGGCGGCCCGGUAAGUCCGCUGUGAAAGUCGGGGGCUCAACCCUCGGAAGCCGGUGGAUACUGUCGGGCUCGAGUACGGAAGAGGCGAGUGGAAUUCCUGGUGUAGCGGUGAAAUGCGCAGAUAUCAGGAGGAACACCAAUUGCGGAGGCAGCUCGCUGGGACGUAACUGACGCUGAGACGCGAAAGCGUGGGGAGCAAACAGG
This 253-nucleotide ribosomal RNA is filed under the name uncultured bacterium. RNAcentral describes it as "partial 16S ribosomal RNA". It matches the Rfam family "Bacterial small subunit ribosomal RNA", at positions 524 to 776 of the family's 1533-position model. The record is from RNAcentral.